GACGAACGCUGGCGGCGUGCUUAACACAUGCAAGUCGAACGGAAAGGCCCUGCUUUUGUGGGGUGCUCGAGUGGCGAACGGGUGAGUAACACGUGAGUAACCUGCCCUUGACUUUGGGAUAACUUCAGGAAACUGGGGCUAAUACCGGAUAGGAGCUCCUGCUGCAUGGUGGGGGUUGGAACGUUUCGGCGGUUGGGGAUGGACUCGCGGCUUAUCAGCUUGUUGGUGGGGUAGUGGCUUACCAAGGCUUUGACGGGUAGCCGGCCUGAGAGGGUGACCGGCCACAUUGGGACUGAGAGACGGCGCAGACUCCUACGGGAGGCAGCAGUGGGGAAUAUUGCACAAUGGGCGGAAGCCUGAUGCAGCAACGCCGCGUGCGGGAUGACGGCCUUCUGGUUGUAAACCGCUUUCGCCUGUGACGAAGCGUGAGUGACGGUAAUGAGUAAAGAAGCACCGGCUAACUACGUG
Molecule: ribosomal RNA, 468 nt
Filed under: uncultured bacterium
Lineage: Bacteria
Description: partial 16S ribosomal RNA
Rfam family: Bacterial small subunit ribosomal RNA
Source: RNAcentral